AGAGAGAGACAUGCGCGCAUAUCAAUAAGCGGAGGAAAAGAAACUAACAAGGAUUCCCUUAGUAACGGCGAGUGAAGCGGGAAGAGCUCAAAUUUGAAAUCUUCAAGGUUUUACCUUGACGAAUUGUAGUUUAAAGAAGUGUUUUCUGCUGAAGUUUUGGUAAAAGUUCUUUGGAAUAGGACAUCAUAGAGGGUGAGAAUCCCGUAUUUGACCAUUAUUUUCAGCUUUGUGAUACACUUUCAAAGAGUCGGAUUGUUUGGGAAUGCAGGUCCAAAAUGGGUGGUAAAUUUCAUCUAAAGCUAAAUAUUGGCGAGAGACCGAUAGCGAACAAGUACCGUGAGGGAAAGAUGAAAAGAACUUUGAAAAGAGAGUUAAACAGUACGUGAAAUUGUCAAAGGGGAAGCGUUUGACACCAGUGUUGUUUUCUCGAAAAUCAAUUAAAAAUGGCUCGAUUUUGUAUUGCUGAGACCUUAAAAGCUCACUGUACAUUUUUCGUGUCUUUUUUAAUGCACUUUUCGUUUAACAAGUCAACAUCAGUUUCUUUUGUUGUAAAAGGGUCAUUGGAAGGUGGCUUUCUUUUCGGAGAAAGUGUUUAUAGCCUUUGGCCUCUGCAAUCGGAGAGACUGAGGUCUGCAGCGUAGACUCUUCGGGGUUAGAUACAUUUGUGCUAAGUUAUAGCUUUUUAUAGACAACUUGUUGACUAUAAUUAGUCUUGUAGCUUACUCGCUUAUGCUAUUUUACCUACGCUUAGGAUGUUGAAGAUGUAGCACAUCAU
RNAcentral lists this ribosomal RNA (775 nucleotides) under uncultured Neocallimastigales. Its description in RNAcentral is "partial large subunit ribosomal RNA". It matches the Rfam family "Eukaryotic large subunit ribosomal RNA", at positions 23 to 634 of the family's 3401-position model. The record is from RNAcentral. Lineage: Eukaryota; Fungi; Neocallimastigomycota; Neocallimastigomycetes; Neocallimastigales.